RNAcentral lists this long non-coding RNA (1225 nucleotides) under Corvus moneduloides (New Caledonian crow). Its description in RNAcentral is "lncRNA (ENSCMUG00000019969.1)". Lineage: Eukaryota; Metazoa; Chordata; Aves; Passeriformes; Corvidae. The record is from RNAcentral.
UUUGUUUUGGUUUUUUAAGUGGUCUGUCUCCUCUCUGAAAUGUUUAUAUUUGCACUUAGUUUACUUAGAAGACAACACUGAAAGGAGUAUUUUGGAGGAAUUCCAUCUUUGUCCUGAAUUAUUAACUUGUCUGAAGAAUGGCAAAGAUAGAAAAUCUGGUGGACAGAAACAGAAAUCAAAACUAUCCAACAAAACACUGCAUCAUUUCCCUGGAAGGAACGUUGUUGAGUUUACUGUAAAUCUGAUGAUGAUUCCUGUUAUCACAGUCAAAGGUCAACCCAUUCUUGGUGAUACUCUGAGAUAACAUCUGUUGAUUUAUCUCCUAUAACAAAAACACAGUGUGAAGACACUGAGGAGAAUGGUUUGCAAAAAAUCUUACAACCAGAAAAGGCAGUUUUUGGUGACAUUUGAAUCUUUCUUGUGAUACAACUGGAUCCAGAUUCCACCACAGAAAUCUUAAAAUGCAAAAGAAAAACAAGGGACAAGCUGAGCUAAUGACAGAUCUGAAGAAGUGUCAACACCGCAGCCGAACAAGCUCGAGGUGGCAGGAAUGCUGUUCACAGGGGACGUGGGAGUCACAGCAAAUACUCUUUUCAAGGCUGGUUGCUCCUGAUUAAACAGUGUUUUCAGCAGGAAAAGCCAAAAACUUGCCCAGAGGCAGUGGAGUGCUCCAGAUGAGUCCCAUGCCUACUCCAGCAACAGCGGGUGAGCUAUAUCCAGCCUCAGAGUCAAAACAGGGAUAAAUGGAAAACACAUUGGAAAGAGGGUUAUGUCCAUAUGGAGGAGGAUUGACAUCCAUUUCCAAACUGGGAAGAACGUGCUAUACCAGCCAGUUUUGCCCUUGGUUAUCCACCUGAGAUGCCUGUGCAGAUUCAACAGGAUGUUGACCUGGAUCUCUCAGAACAGCUCAUGGAGAGGAAAGACCCUCUGACACAAAACAACGUCACUGGAGAGAGAGCUGUAAUGUCAGGGAGGGCAUCUGGAAGAUCAAAGUGGGAAUAAACCAAUCACUCCAAGCUGUAUGGCUUUGCAUGGCUGGGUUUUAUUUCCAUUCUUUUGAAGCACAUCUCAUGAGUCUUAACAAGGAAAGAACUUUUGUGUAAAUCAAAAAAAGGUUGUUUGUGUAAAAUUCAGUAAAUUAAAAAAAACCCCAGCCCAAACGCCACAGGCCUGCGGGGAAGAACUGGAAUUGAAUUUCUGUAAUAUGGACCUUUCCCAGAAAAGC